RNAcentral lists this ribosomal RNA (433 nucleotides) under uncultured bacterium. RNAcentral's name for it is "partial 16S ribosomal RNA". It matches the Rfam family "Bacterial small subunit ribosomal RNA", at positions 29 to 507 of the family's 1533-position model. The record is from RNAcentral.
AACGAACGCUGGCGGCAUGCCUAACACAUGCAAGUCGAACGAGACCUUCGGGUCUAGUGGCGCACGGGUGCGUAACGCGUUGGAACCUGCCCUUAGGUUCGGAAUAACUCCCCGAAAGGGGUGCUAAUACCGGAUAAUGUCUUCGGACCAAAGAUUUAUCGCCUUUGGAUGGGCCCGCGUUGGAUUAGCUAGUUGGUAGGGUAAAAGCCUACCAAGGCGACGAUCCAUAGCUGGUCUGAGAGGAUGAUCAGCCACACUGGGAAUGAGACACGGCCCAGACUACUACGGGAGGGAGCAGAGGGGAAUAUUGGAAAAUGGGCGAAAGCCUGAUCAAGCAAUGACGCGUGAGUGAUGAAGGCAUUAGGGUUGUAAAGCUCUUUUACCCGGGAUGAUAAUGACAGUACCGGGAGAAUAAGCUCCGGCUAACUCCGUG